GUAAACCAAAGCUUUUUUAAAUAUAUUUUUCAUAACAAGCUUAUCAACUAAGCCCAUUGAGAACAACCCUUCUAUACAUUUAGUUUCGUGUAUUUUACUUUAAGUAUUAUUUGUUACCUUGUUUGCAUCAUCUGAUUCCUGCACUGCAGUUUGCAGAAUCUUUCAAAAAUAAGAUCGAUUUAAUAAAGAAGAUAAUAUAUUGCGUUUUGAGGAAAGUAUUGGUUUUAAAGAUACAUGAGAACUACAGUUGUUGACUCUGGACUCGGGUCUAAGCUGCUCCUUGUUUCCAUAGUUACAGCUGUACUCCUUGGCCUCCUGUUAAAUGUUCAGUAGACAGUAGUACUCAAGAAGUUUGUGUUAUGCAGUUUGUGUGUGCAAGUGUGUGCAUGUGUGUGUAGUGGAUUAUCUGUUGGUGCAAACAAGGUAACAGGGCUUGGAGGCAUGUACGUCCUGACAGCCUUUCCUCAUCUCUUGCACACUCUCACUUUUGGGUUCUAACCUAUAACCCUGCUAGCAGCUUCCCUUCUGGCAUUUCCUUGAGCGUUUCCCAAAGUCCUUGCUCCAAUAAUACAUAUACAUCCUCAUAUCCACAGUUCUUUGCAGUCAUCACUGAUAUGAAUUUGAUAAGAUCAGAAACUACAGUUUCCUUCUUAUCAGCAUCCCCCAUCCUAAAGUAAUCAGUGAUAACCUCAAAGAUUUAGGGAUGUAUUUUUAACUCUAAUGGUGUGUCAUGCUAUAACCAUCCUCACAUGGCCUCGGCAUUAACAGCCUUGUUAAUGACAAGAUUACCGAAGUCCUACCCUAAGUGUCACGUGGAAUAACUGUCGAAUAAGUGGUGGAAUCUUCUCUUUUAAUUUCCUCAGGGUUUGGCUUAGAUGUGCAACAACCUGCCUCAGCCUGGUUCUGUUUUAAAGGCUUGGCAGGUUGAAAGUCUCGUGUUUGCCGUCUUUCUUGGUUGUCCACUGAAGUUUUACUUCAGCAUGACAUUGACAAUAAUUGAUGUUAAAUUAAAUGUAUUAUAAUCAUGAGGUGAUUCAUCAGCCUUACAAAGAGCUCAGGAGUUUGUAAUCACUCUUCAGAUGCAGUUGAGUUUGACUUUUAUAGCCUUGCUCCUCCUCUCUUUUCUUCUUCUGUCAUCCUAAUCUCUGUUUAUGUGAAUAACGAGGAUGGAAGAAUUUGCUUCCACCAUACUUCACAGCUGAUUAAGAGGAGCUGAAAGAUAUGAAGAGACAAUCUUAGAUUGAGAAGAUGUCAUAAUAGACUCUUUCACAGUCCUCUCAUUAUAGUGGCAUCGGCAGGAGGAGCCGCUCUGCUCCACGCAACCGGAACUAGAGUGUCUUGCUUUUGUGUUUCCAUCUUCUUGUCAGUGAAAUCAAUUGCUAUGCCAUCUCAGAGAAAUAGUGAAAAGUCUCUGUAGAAGUAAUUAGCAUAGGGAUGUGAGUUAAUUCCAUUUCAUGGUAGCAUUGGUACUCACAAAUACAUUGUAGCUGUUGCCCAAGUGUAGUUUGAUGUCUGCAGAAGUUUGCUGCUACUUUUACUUGCUGAUUUUGGGACAUCUCGGAGGCAGAAUGUAGGAAUGUCAUAUAUUUAGUGCAUGAGGUUUAAAAAUAAAUAAAUAAAUAAAUAAAUAAAAAAUCUGAAACUGCAAAUUCUUCUGUUGCAAACACCUGAUGAAUGUGUUUUGUAGUCCAUACUUUCAUCAGUAUUGUAUUAAUAUGAGUAGCAGUAAUAUGCUAGCACAUGAGUUUGAGUGGAAAAGCUCUGUUAUCUCAACUGUGUAAGACAAUGCAUUGCUUGGAUGAACACAGAUGAAGUAUGAAUUCUCCGUUUGACAUUGGGCCAAAUUCAGUCAUCAGUCAUUGAUCUGUGCCACGGCAACGUCCGUGGAUGGAAAAGGCGACCAUGAUAUCAAAUACAGCAUAUCAUGUAACACCCAGUUCUAAUUGGGCUCACCCUUUUCUGAGGUUAUGUAAUCAAAGACAUCCCCACCAUCUCCAUCCUGACAGUUGAUUGCCUUUGAAUGUGACAAAGAUGAUCAUGCACACCAUUAUUUCUCUCUCUCUCUCUGCAUCUGCAUUUCCCCCCCCACCUACUGGAGUAUUUUCACACAUAGCAUUAGCUUCCCAGCACUCUGAAUUCUAAUGUACCUUUAUCACUUACCCCAUCCACUGUGUGCUCCAUCUAUAACCCCUUCAAAAACCACACUGCCGUAUUUUGUCUCUCCUGUAUCCACCUCGUCCACAUGCUGUGUAUCAUAGCUUUGGGUGGUUUAGAAACUUUAAUUUCAUUUGUGCUCUUUGGUUUUCUGUUCGUUGUUUAUGUAAAUUGCAUAACUUUGUUUUGUUUUUCAGUGUUUGUGUUGAGGAUGGCCAUGGUCCCUGACUGUCUUGCUUAUUGGACACUAACUGACUGUGCGCCCAGGAGGGCAGGACGACUGUACUUUUCAGCAGCUUAGGUGAGCUCCACACCAUUUCUCAGAGAAGUUAUGGAACCACGUACACCAUCCGCCCUGGCAGCCGUUACCCUGUCACCCGACGCACCCCCAGCCCAGGUUCAGGCUCACCUGACCGGGGCGACCUUCUCGGACGAUUCUCAAGCUUCGGCCUACCGACCUCACCGACUACACCCCCUCAAACCAUCCUCAAGUCCUCGAGCCUCAGCCUACCCCAGGAGCCUAAAGAGGUCCGCUUUGUAAUGAGGAGCUCCAGCGCCCGUUCCCGCUCUCGUUCCCCGUCCCCUUCCCACUCCCCCGGGUUGGGGUCACCGCUUUUAGCCCUCCGGCCCUUCCACCAAAAACCCCUCCACCUUUGGAACAAGUACGACGUUGGAGACUGGCUGGAGAGCAUCAAUCUGGGGGAGCACAGAGCGGGGUUUCAGGAACACGAGAUCGAAGGCUCUCACCUCCCGGCUCUAACCAAGGAUGACUUUGCGGAGCUGGGAGUAACGCGAGUCGGACACCGCAUGAACAUUGAGCGAGCACUAAAGCAGCUGCUGGAGAGCUGACCCCUGCCCUGAGACACAGCAACAGAUGGAGAGAGACGAAGACAGAACCAGUGAGAUACAGAGCUGAUGAAUAGGAGAGAAAACAAUGUGGACCGCUCCUCUUUUACUCCGGCUGCUUUUUUAUGUUCGGUAUCACAAAUGUUUACCUGUGGUCCUUAACGGCAUUUUCCGUUCCCACUCUGCAUUAACACCCUGCACUUGGCACUGCACUGAAGAGGAGGAGUGAAUACAUUCGUCCCCCUCUACUCGGCCCUUAGCGUCUGCCCACCUCCUUGGCUGCAGCCAAUUAGAUCAGACCUCAAAACGAUAUCUGGUCUUUUUUUUCGCCGAGGAGAAUCGCAUGAGCUCCAAUUAAAACAUUUGAUUUGUGAAAGGUUCAGUUGUUUCCUUAGUAACACCCACACAUUCUCUCUCAUGACUCCCUCCUCUCCUCGCUACCUCUAUCCCCCCGUCUAUUAGGCCUCUGAAAAGCCUUUUUGCAGUUUGAGUAAAGGAGGAGGAGGACUAAUUUUUGUUCCAAACAGAAAAGCUCAGUUGCCUUUCACAAUAUUUAUACAGAGAUCAACAAUGAUGAACACAGUGCUAUGGUCAUAGUGCUGACACAGCUCUGAAAAGGUGUGUCUUCUGUAUACCUGCUGUUGUUUUUAAAAACCGAAGACUUUUAGAGCCCAGAGGCGGAGCUCCACAAAGUAAACCACGGGAGAAACCCCCUCUGCCUUGGUACCCAGACUGUGCUAUCUAUUAUAUUUGGAGAAUGUUUAACCAACACUCGUGGCUUUUUUCAUAAUCAAUUUUUGGGUUUUCCAAAGGGAAUAUUAUAUAUAGGUAUUAUAUAAUAUAAUAUAUAUGUAUCUAAAUAUAGCUUUCAGAAGAAAAGACAAUGUUGCAAAGAGGAUAUGUAAUAAAUUAAUUUGCGCCUGUUUUUGGUUUUUAGUAUAGAAGGCAGAGAGAAAUCUUUAAAUCUAUUCCACCAAUAGUUUACUCAUUUCUACCAAUUAUAUACAUACAUAUAUAAAUAUAUAUAUAUAUUUGAAAGAAAAAAGUAUAUAGAUACAAAAAUGAAAUUUUUGUCAUAGGUAUACAACCUUCCUUAUGGUCACCCUUUCUUGAACCGUAGCAUGACGAGUUGCAUCAUGUUUUUGGACAGAGAGUUUGUUGUUUGUGUUUAUUUUCUUACAGUCUUCCUUCAUACUAAAAGGGCAUCCCGUAAUGUGAGGCUGAGACCCCAGUUGAUACCCAUCCCUACCGCUUCAGCUACACAUCUCGCUGCCAUGGAUAUGUCUCCGAUUUUACCCCCCCCCCCACCCCCCAAUAACUGUGAGAGCCGCCCGCUGAGCCGGCUGGUUGCUCUGGAUCUUAUGCCUGUUUAUCACUCAGGGAUGGAAGUUUGGGGCACUAGCAUGAAGAGGUUGUUGGCUCUUUCAAUACAAUCUAUUUAAAUUCUUACAUUUGAGGACAAUUCAACACCACCACCAGUCUGAAAAAUGGUAGACAGCUAGUAUAAAUUUCCAUCCCUGUAACCCCUGAAGAUGCUUCUCAGACCAGGUUGCACGAGGUCUGGUAUUGUAAAGGAAACAUUGGGAUGUUUUUUUAAUCCCCAGUGGAAAGGAGAGCAUCAUUAACUGUUUUUUUAAGUUCAAAGUGUGGGACAAAUGAAGUUUAAACUGCACAAAUAAAGCAAAUCAUUGUUUACCUUAGAAUCCUUUACCUGGAGUGCAACUAAGACAAACUCGCCAUACAAGCUUAAUUGAGCUAGAUGUGUGUGCCCUUCUGAAAUGCCACUGCAGGAAAUGUCUGUAGUUCCUCAGGCUGUGGGGAUGGGGAAGCCUCUGUAAGGUCUUAAAGAAAAUUCAGUAUUUUACAACCUGGCAGUGUCUCGCACCGUCGCUGCUACCUUCUAUCUCUACCAUUGUCUUAUCAUGUAAACGGUGGCAGCCAGAGCACUAAAAAUAAGACCCAGGUUGUAAAAGAAAACAAAAAAAAAAACAAAAAGGAAAAACUGAAUUUUCUUUUAACAACACAAAUCUGCAAUUGUACUCAUGAGUAGCUUCUGCUGGCAGUGAGAAACUGAGUUUUAUUCAAGCAACAACAACAAAAAAAGCAUUUUAGCAUAGCUUUUCUCUGACAGAAUGCCAGGAAACUGUAUUGACACUAAAAACCUCUGUACAUCAGCAGCAUCCAGUCAGUAUGCCAAGACAGUUUUACUUGGCGAAAAGUUGUGUGCAUCUUUUUUUUUUGCUAGCAGUUUGUAAAAGCGGGUGGUGAACAUUUCGUUGUAUCUGGGUUGUAGGAAUAGCACUCACUGCCUCACUGUGACCUCACUGAUCAUUUUACUUUUGAUUCCAGUGUUAUGUCCUCAGACUCAUUUGGACCUUCUUCUUUUUUUUUUGUUUUCUUUUUGCUGUUCUUUUUAAUUUUGUCGUCGUCGUCGAAUCGUUACCCUCGGACACUGUGGGUAGAUUUUGUAGCGUGUGGAACAUGAUACUUAAAAUCUUUCACUCAUUUGAAUUUUAGAGUGACAGAAGAAAAAAAGAAAAAAAUAUCCUGUUCAUCCUAAACAUACUUACACUUGUAAAAAAAAAACCAACAAACUACAAAUCUUUGCUUUUUUUAAAAAAAUCACAAGCAAUGUAUAUAUGAUAGAUUUCAUAUAAAUUUUUGAAAAACAAAAAGUAUAUAGAUCUAUAUAUGAAUGUUUGGCAUAUAUGCAUAGUUAACCACCUGUGGAAAAGGUGAGCAGAUUUUAUUCUUUCUAUGAACUCUUGAACUUUUGAACUCUGAACUAUGAACUAGGGGAUGAUUUGCACAAAACAAGGUGACAAGGUGCUAACAUAAAAGCCACCCAUCGUCCAAGCGCAUGCGUGCAUCUGGAUUCCCUGAACCUCUCUGUGUGGUCGUUCCUCUUCACCGUGUGCUGCGUGUGUGUGUGUGUGUGUGUGUGUGUGUGUGUGUGUGUGUGUGUGUGUGUGUGUGUGUGUGUGUGUGUGUGUGUGUGUGUACGCGAGCAAAUGCUUUCCAUUUUUUUUGUGUAUCUGUUGGGGAGCGAGACGAUGAGAAUGCAUGUGACAGUGAGAGAGUGUGUGGUUAAUCCUUAGGGUUUACAUCUUUGGAGUUUAGUCCACUAUAGCCUUACUGUAUUACCAUCAGAGAUUCCCGGCAGCGGCUGUGUCACACAAACACACACACAAACUCACAAAACAUGCACACACAGACAGAAGAAAAUGCACACAUUCAUUUCAAGAUUGAACAUCAUCGUUCUGCAUUGUUGUUUUAUACUCAGUGACGUCUUCAGAUAGUGGACUGCUCUGCCCCAGAGACGAGCAGAGAGGGAGAGAUAUUGGUAAAAAUAAAUAAAUAAAACAAAGUAAACAACACUGUCACAUUUUAUAUUGCAAGACAACUCACCUUGUAACUGCGUAGGUACACCUUAUGCAGUGUCACUGUUUUGUACGCUCAUUCCCAGAUGGCAUUUGCGCUCCUUACCCUCCACUCUGUCUGGCAGCACUCCUUUUUCCUUUUUCAGACCUUCAGUUUCUGAGUUUUGGAUAUGCUAUAUGAGGUAAUCCAGUGAGGAACAAACAACACAAAGGAAAAAUGUGCCAAAAAGUAACUUAAUUUUUAACUGUGUAUUUGUCUUUGCUUUAGGACUAUCUUAGUUACAGCAUUCUUGAGCUGUUAGAUAAUAUGAUAAUAUGGUGCCAUCUCCUGGAAAUCUUGAGAACAACAGACGUGUUAGAUCUUUCUGUAUUUUCCUGCAGGUGGAAGUACAGUCAUUUUUGUUAUUUUGUGAAGAAGCAGACUAUAUAUAUAUAUAUAUAUAUAUAUAUAUAUAUGUGUGUGUAUAUAUAUAUAUAUAUAUAUAUAUAUAUAUAUAGUCUGUGUAUAUCUACUUGCAUUAACAUUUCUAUUUAAAUUUUGACGUAACACAUUUGCUUGAUUUGACUGUGCUGAAGGCUACUGUUCCCAUAUAAAUACAAAUAAGAGACUAAACACUUGAGAGGUGAACGUGUACAGUCUGAUGCAGGCUGGCCUGGCUAGAAGAAUCAAUGCUGCUUGGAUUGUUGUGCAAGUUUACUACCAAUACAGAUGCAAACUGAGCAAUGUGUGAUAGACAUACACAUCAUUAGGUCAAAUAAGUUAAGUGAAGGGUUAUCUUUGUCUUAUUUUCUAAUCAACAAAGCACAAUCUACAUAGCGUAGGGGGAGCAGUGUGACCUUUUUAAAAACCCACUGGGGUCCGGUGGCCCACUGGAGCCAGUGAUCUUAUCAUCCAAGGGGUUUUUUCUUUCAUUGUUGGUUUUCUCCUUGUUUGCACUGUGAAGUUUAGAAUGGUGGAUGUAUCACUGCAACGCCUCAGCCUUGUCUCACGGGUGAACUUCCCCUUCUCGACAUCCAAACGACCAGGCGAUUCAUCUGUGACUUCUCUCCCUCCGGACACUUAGGGUACUACAGAAUCCCCCCUACACUUCAAUCCACAAGAGCCCAAGUUAAAACACAAGCGAAACCAGAAGCUACCUAGUAUUCCUCAUGCAAACAGAGCAAGGGCGAUAGUAAAGGUUGAGGCAAGAUCUGAGAUGUUGCCCAGGAUAUCUCCACCACAGAGAUAUAUGUUUGUUAUAUUAUGUAAUAAAUUUAUAAUUAAAACAUGA
Molecule: long non-coding RNA, 7651 nt
Organism: Amphiprion ocellaris (clown anemonefish)
Lineage: Eukaryota; Metazoa; Chordata; Actinopteri; Pomacentridae
Source: Ensembl